Long non-coding RNA from Manis javanica (Malayan pangolin), 613 nucleotides. RefSeq lists it as uncharacterized. Lineage: Eukaryota; Metazoa; Chordata; Mammalia; Pholidota; Manidae. The record is from RefSeq and is a predicted model, not a curated record.
UUCUUAGCUUUCUUAAUACUGGGUGACAUCUUGUUAAAAAAACAUUUUUUUGAGUAGACUUUCAAAUAUCCCAUCCCUAGUUGUGAUUGAUUACAAAUUCUUUCCUCCCUGCAUGUUUAUCCUUUGUGAUUUUGCAGCUUGUUCCAUCAAGAGGGGGUCUAUUUCCCUACACCUCAAAUCUGGGUUUGGCUUUGACUAAUGUGACAUUAGAAAGCAUGAUACGAGAAGAGACCUGAAGAUUGCCUGUGCAUUGGGACUUGCCGUCUCUCGCUGCUCUUGGGAACCUUGUGACCAUCACCAUGUGGAAAACCAGAAGUCUAUCAAUUGCUUAUUGCUGCAUGAAGACUUGUCCGGUAUUGACCCUCUGAGGACAGAAAUGAGCCACAUGCUCAAAGGAAGAGAAUAGAAGUCCUGAUCACAGGAGAGUGGAACUGUUACCUCAUAGGGCCUCAGCACUAACCUCCUUCAAGCCUGCAGAUGGCUGGUCCUAAUGAUCCUUUGGAUCAAUGCAAAAAUUUACCUCUCGUUGAAGAGCUGAGAAUAUUCCAUCCUCUGCUGCUUAUGGAACACCUCACAAGGCAUUUACCUGCUCCCUGUCAAUGAAGUUUGUAUU